AACGAACGCUGGCGGCGUGCCUAACACAUGCAAGUCGAACGCGAAAGUCCUUCGGGAUGAGUAAAGUGGCGCACGGGUGAGUAACACGUAGGUGACCUGCCUUUUAGAGGGGAAUAACCAGAAGAAAUUUUGGCUAAUGCCGCAUACGAAAUACAAAAGUAAAAAUCGUAUUUGAAAGGAUGCCUCUGUAUAUGCAUCCACUAAAAGAUGGGCCUGGGGAACAUUAGCUAGUUGGGGGGGUAAAGGCCUACCAAGGCAACGAUGUUUAUCCGGUCUGAGAGGAUGAACGGACACACUGGAACUGAGACACGGUCCAGACUCCUACGGGAGGCAGCAGUGGGGAAUAUUGCGCAAUGGAGGAAACUCUGACGCAGCAACGCCGCGUGAGUGAGGAAGGACUUCGGUCUGUAAAGCUCUGUUAAUGUGGAAAAAUGGCAGUUGGUCUAAUAGGCCGAUUGUUUGAUGGUACACAUAGAGGAAGCACCGGCUAACUUCGUGCCAGCAGCCGCCGUAA
RNAcentral lists this ribosomal RNA (514 nucleotides) under uncultured bacterium. Its description in RNAcentral is "partial 16S ribosomal RNA". It matches the Rfam family "Bacterial small subunit ribosomal RNA", at positions 29 to 523 of the family's 1533-position model. The record is from RNAcentral.